RNAcentral lists this ribosomal RNA (240 nucleotides) under uncultured bacterium. Its description in RNAcentral is "partial 16S ribosomal RNA". It matches the Rfam family "Bacterial small subunit ribosomal RNA", at positions 15 to 244 of the family's 1533-position model. The record is from RNAcentral.
GAUCAUGGCUCAGGAUGAACGCUAGCUACAGGCUUAACACAUGCAAGUCGAGGGGAAACGAUAGAGAAAGCUUGCUUUUUCUAGGCGUCGACCGGCGCACGGGUGAGUAACGCGUAUCCAACCUGCCCAUCACUUGGGGAUAACCUUGCGAAAGUAAGACUAAUACCCAAUGACGUCUCUAGAAGACAUCUGAAGGAGAUUAAAGAUUUAUCGGUGAUGGACGGGGAUGCGUCUGAUUAG